AACCGCCGCCCCUUCUUUUCUUUUCUUCCUCUUUCGUUCGACGUCGACGGUCAGGCCAAGCCAAACCGCAGCUGCAACCGUCGGCCGCCGUCUUUGUUGCGAAGCAAGGCCGCUGCGUGACCUUCCGCCCACCGCCGUGUGACCCUCUGUCCAGUUCUGCACCGCUAGAUCGAGCCGUCCACCGGUUUCGUCUAUUUCUGUCUCCGUUCACCGAAGCCGAACCCAACCGCCACCCUUUCUUUUCUUCUUCGAUCCAAAAACUGCCGCUGCAACGCGUCAGCCGCUGCGUGACCUCUGCCCAGCACCGCCGCGCAGCCUCUGUCUCUGCGCCGUUACCCAGAUCUGCGUCGCCGUGCCCCGUCCUAAUCGUCUCUGUCUCUGUCGAAGUUUUGUUGGUAAGAUUGAAGUCAUGAAAUUGUAGUCGUUUCCAAAACAAUUUAAGUAUGGGUUGUUAUGUUUUCAAGGUGUUCAAACGUUACGGAUGGGUUAAUUGACUAAUUUGAUAAAUUAUUCUUGAAGGUGUGAAAGGUAACUUUGGAUCACUUAAAUUCACAACCAAUUUGUGAAUUGUUGAGGGUUCAGUUCGCCAAUAUAUCGGUGAGUUGGAACUUACGUUGAGGAAAGUAAGUGAGAUAUGUAUCGUGAAAGUAAUUGAAUUUUGUGUUGUUGUGCUUAGGAUUGUUUCGAGGACGUUAGUUGAUUAAGGAGCUUCCCCAACUUUGAGGUAAGGGACUUUCUACUGGACUCACCUAAAGUUUUUUGAGUUGUGUUGGACUGUAUGGAUGAUGAUUAAGAUGUACAUGUUUGGUUGCAGACUAAAUGUUUAGUGUAUGUUGUAUUUGACUGGAAACAUAUAUAUAUAUACAUUGAUGUGUGAAUUGAUGUGGAUUGCCGAAAGUAUACAUGUGAAUGACUGAAAUUAUGCUUAUGUGUACAUGAUGAUAUUAAUAGAUUGUGCUGUAUAAAGAUUUGGAUGUGAACUAGUGAAUUUGUUUCGGUUGGAUGUGGAUUAUACUGAACUGUGGUUUGUGCUGGUGAACUGAGGGGUGUAUUGACUGUAUAGUUUGAUUGACUGACGUAUUAGUAUAUUAUUGACAGACAUAUGACUAAAGUGAGAUAAGUUGACUGUUAGGACGUUGAGAGAAAGAACUUUAUGUUUUGAAGUAACUGAAAGAUGGAUUGAAUGGAAUGAGGGGAUAAAUUGUUAGAUUGUAUUGGGAUGUUUACCUUGUAGGUGUCCCACGGGAUCACCAAUUUAUUUUGCACCUUCGGGAGCAUUUGACUGAUAUGUGUUUCUGCAGAACACUAGACUGAUAUGUACGUCCCUCGGGGCGUUAGACUGAUAUGUACGUCCCUCGGGGCGUUAGACUGAUAUGUACGUUCCUCGGGGCGUUAGACUGAGAUGUGUAUCCUACGGGAUCACAAGACUGCGACUGUACAGGGUGUCCCAAUAGAACUUUAACAAUUUAUUUUCCCCUGACGAGACCAGUAGAGGGUCUCUUACUGAGUAUUGUUAUACUCACCCUUCUUAUGUUUAAUUUUCAGGCAAAGGAAAUAAAGGUGGCAAACCGGCGAGGGGCAGGAAGGAAGCGUGAUUGUCAUAGGAAAUGUGUCAUUUUGCU
This 1622-nucleotide long non-coding RNA is filed under the name Cucumis sativus (cucumber). Its description in RNAcentral is "long non-coding RNA (CSAT_LNC000229)". Lineage: Eukaryota; Viridiplantae; Streptophyta; Magnoliopsida; Cucurbitales; Cucurbitaceae. The record is from RNAcentral.